CCUACGGGAGGCAGCAGUAGGGAAUCUUCGGCAAUGGACGCAAGUCUGACCGAGCAACGCCGCGUGAGUGAAGAAGGUUUUCGGAUCGUAAAGCUCUGUUGUCAGCCAAGAACAGGAAGAAGAGGGAAUGCUUUUUCUAUGACGGUAGCUGACCAGAAAGCCACGGCUAACUACGUGCCAGCAGCCGCGGUAAUACGUAGGUGGCAAGCGUUGUCCGGAUUUAUUGGGCGUAAAGGGAGCGCAGGCGGUUCGUUAAGUCUGAUGUGAAAGCCCUCGGCUCAACCGAGGAGGGGCAUUGGAAACUGGCGAACUUGAGUACAGAAGAGGAGAGUGGAAUUCCAUGUGUAGCGGUGAAAUGCGUAGAUAUAUGGAGGAACACCGGUGGCGAAGGCGACUCUCUGGUCUGUGACUGACGCUGAGGCUCGAAAGCGUGGGUAGCAAACAGGAUUAGAUACCCCAGUAGUC
Molecule: ribosomal RNA, 465 nt
Filed under: Vibrio parahaemolyticus
Lineage: Bacteria; Pseudomonadati; Pseudomonadota; Gammaproteobacteria; Vibrionales; Vibrionaceae
Description: bacterial SSU rRNA
Rfam family: Bacterial small subunit ribosomal RNA
Source: RNAcentral